CAGCAGCCGCGGUAAUACGAAGGGUGCAAGCGUUAAUCGGAAUUACUGGGCGUAAAGGGUGCGUAGGCGGUUGUUUAAGUCUGUUGUGAAAUCCCCGGGCUCAGCCUGGGAAUUGCAGUGGAUACUGGGUCACUAGAGUGUGGUAGAGGAUAGUGGAAUUUCCGGUGUAGCAGUGAAAUGCGUAGAGAUCGGAAGGAACAUCUGUGGCGAAGGCGACUAUCUGGGCCAACACUGACACUGAGGCACGAAAGCGUGGGGAGCAAACAGGAUUAGAUACCCGCGUAGUCCCUGUCUCUUAUAC
RNAcentral lists this ribosomal RNA (301 nucleotides) under uncultured bacterium. Its description in RNAcentral is "partial 16S ribosomal RNA". It matches the Rfam family "Bacterial small subunit ribosomal RNA", at positions 509 to 807 of the family's 1533-position model. The record is from RNAcentral.